This is a long non-coding RNA of Sinocyclocheilus grahami, 559 nucleotides long. RefSeq lists it as uncharacterized. Lineage: Eukaryota; Metazoa; Chordata; Actinopteri; Cypriniformes; Cyprinidae. The record is from RefSeq and is a predicted model, not a curated record. The transcript has 3 exons.
AGAGCUGAAGUGUUUUUACUAUUAAGAAAUCUUGUUUAAUUUUGUUUAGUUUUUCCCGUGUUUUUUUUUGUGUCUUUUUGUGCUUUAAUAUAUUAGCAUUUACGAAGGCAGCCAAUAGAAAAUUAAUAGAGUUUGACUAUCAAUCGCUGCUGUAGGCGGGAAAACUGCCUCGGGAAAAUAACUGCAGUUUCAGCAUGUGCUUACUCGAUGCUGCCAUAUUCUGAGUAAACUUGGUGCUUUUCAUACACUUUGUGAUUCUGCGGUCUUUCAGAUGCUUCAUUAUGACUGGAAAUUGGUAAUCUGGAUAUACUGAAGGAGCUCAAUGUGCUGCUGUUUGUCUCUUUGUUGGAAGCACACCAAUGUCCAUCUUGAUGAGUCACAUGCUACAGAAUUCCAUGAUCAUCUAUUGUCAGUUAAAUUUAUAUGGCAGACUUCAACUUAAAGAUGGUUCUGAUUUACAUAAAACCGCUUUCCAUUUUCCUUUUACACCUCUUGAUACAUUAGUAACAAAUGCAGUUUUGCUUUGUUCUAGUGAAGACUUGACCAUGUCAGUACAGUU